Vespula vulgaris is the source of this 431-nucleotide long non-coding RNA. RefSeq lists it as uncharacterized. The transcript is spliced from 2 exons. Lineage: Eukaryota; Metazoa; Arthropoda; Insecta; Hymenoptera; Vespidae. The record is from RefSeq and is a predicted model, not a curated record.
UAUUAAUAUCUUUUUAAUCAAUUUAAACAUUUUUAGUUCAUAAUGUAUCAAUAACAAUAUCAGAUAUUUAAUUUUGGCUCAUUGCAGAACAAAGGUUGCUCGUUACUGUCCAUACAAUAUAAGAAAAUCUCAAGCAAUACCCAAGAGAAAGACUACUGUGUACUUUGUGUAUGUGUGUGUGGGUGUGUAUAUUAUGUAUCUAGUUACGUACAUAUGUACAUAUACACAUAUGUAUCUAUUUACAAAUGUAUGUUUGUAUGGGAUCUUCCAACAUUCCACCUCGGUGGUUGCCGAAAGACUGAUCUCAUACGAUAUUCGACAGAAAGUAAAUAACAUAAGUUGUAUUUAGAUAUUUCAGCUUAUAUAGAAACAUAUAAACAUUGUAAUAAGAUUUGCUUUGUAUACGUCAGCUAGUAAAUGGUAUAAACAUU